UCUUAUUUAAGUUAAAAUGUAAACUAUUAAUUUGUGGCAUUAAAAAUACAAUUUGUAAUAAGAU
This 64-nucleotide transfer RNA is filed under the name Neobenedenia melleni. Its description in RNAcentral is "tRNA-His". The record is from RNAcentral. Lineage: Eukaryota; Metazoa; Platyhelminthes; Monogenea; Capsalidea; Capsalidae.